Molecule: long non-coding RNA, 880 nt
Organism: Pogoniulus pusillus (Red-fronted tinkerbird)
Lineage: Eukaryota; Metazoa; Chordata; Aves; Piciformes; Lybiidae
Exons: 3
Source: RefSeq, a predicted model, not a curated record
GCUUUCCAAGGAACAAGCACCUUGUCUGGAUUUGAAAUAGAGCAGAUCUAGAGAGUUCAUACUCUUCUGUUACAGCACCACUAUGCUAGAACAUUAUCAAGCAUAUUAUUAGUACAUUUUCUGACCUCUUUACACCUACAGAUUACUCCAGUGGAGAGGACUCCGAGGCAGAAGUAAGGUACAGCUUCACCUCAGGAGCCUGAUCCUGCAGCUCUCAGUCAGGAGCGGGGAUCUGGCCUGAGCAAUCCUGCAGGCUCUGACUGGGCAGCUAUGGUUAUGCAGAGCUGUUCGCAUGCGAGAAGCUGUAGGAUGAGGUUUUAAAGCAUCUGAUGUGGUCCCUAGAAAGCAAUGCACACCUAAAAAUGAUGCAGCUAAUCAUCAAAACAUACAUACCCAGGAAAAGACAAGCCUGCUUCUCUGAAAUUCCAGCAGAGACAGAGCAACAAAACCGUUAGUGGCAUCUCAUGGUAUUCCUUUAAGCAUACAGUAAUGCUGGUCAUUUAAACCCUUGUAAGUGCUUUGUUGAACCUGUGUCUGGUUUAGCUUAUUUACAUGGAUCCCAUUUUGGCUUCAGUUUCAGUGCACUGUGCAGCUUCCCUUUCCUAUGUGUGGUAAAAGUGAUUCAACACCAACUGAUGGGAAAGAAAUGCAGAGGUGUCACUUCUGCUGUAAGCAGCAGUGAUAGAGCUAGCAGCAUUCAUAGAUAGAGUCUUACAAGGUGUUUACUGCAGCUUUUUUAUUUGGGAGCAACUUUAUUAGAUUAUAUAAAUGAAGAUUUCCUGCUGGAAUAAGGAGGAAAGGAAGAAACCUUACCAACACUAGCCAGGCACACUUUGUACAGACUGUACGGUGUCAUUACCAUUUAAAAACAUCGAAUAAA